Molecule: ribosomal RNA, 647 nt
Filed under: Symbiodinium sp. Mpha2/1/1
Lineage: Eukaryota; Dinophyceae; Suessiales; Symbiodiniaceae
Description: LSU rRNA
Rfam family: Eukaryotic large subunit ribosomal RNA
Source: RNAcentral
UUUAAGCGUAUAAGUAAGCGGAGGAAAAGGAACUAAAUAGGAUUCCCUCAGUGAUGGCGAAUGAACAGGGAUGAGCUCAGGCUGGAAACCGAUACAUCUGUGUCGGGCUGUAGCCUGCAGGCAUAGCGCUAUCGGCGGCUCGAGCGCAAGCCUCUUGGAAUAGAGCGUGUGCCCGGGUGAGAAUCCUGCAUUUCGCUCGAUGUCCGCUGUCCACAGUGCUUGUCCUGAGAGUCACGCUCCUCGGAAUUGGAGCGUAAAUCAGGUGGUAAGUUUCAUCCAAAGCUAAAUAGAAGCUCGAGACCAAUAGCAAACAAGUACCAUGAGGGAAAGAUGAAAAGGACUUUGGAAAGAGAGUUAAAAGUGUUUGAAAUUGCUGAGAGCGAAGCGAACGGAGCCACAUGUCGUGCUGAGAUUGCUGUGGGUCUUUGUGAGCCUUGAGCAUGUAAGCGCAAGCUGACUGCUUAUGUGUGAGCAUUUGCCCGCAGUGUUUCUCAGCAUGCGAGUCAUUAGCCACAUUUGUUUGAGGAUGGCCUUCAGCUCACAUGGUACACUUGUUAGUGUUCCUCUGUGCGGUGUGGGACUCAGACAGGUGUGGCUUGUUGACCCAGUGGUUUUUUUCGACCCGUCUUGAAACACGGACCAAGGAG